This 209-nucleotide ribosomal RNA is filed under the name Acremonium sp. RNAcentral's name for it is "partial large subunit ribosomal RNA". The record is from RNAcentral. Lineage: Eukaryota; Fungi; Ascomycota; Sordariomycetes; Hypocreales; Bionectriaceae.
AAGCGCUUAUGACCAGUCUUGGGCUCGGUGAAUCAUCCGGCGUUCUCGCCGGUGCACUUUGCCGGUCCAGGCCAGCAUCAGUUCGCGUCGGGGGACAAAGGCUUCGGGAAUGUGGCUCCCUCGGGAGUGUUAUAGCCCGUUGUGCAAUACCCUGGUGCGGACUGAGGUCCGCGCUUCUGCAAGGAUGCUGGCGUAAUGGUCAUCAGUGA